Molecule: ribosomal RNA, 253 nt
Filed under: uncultured bacterium
Lineage: Bacteria
Description: partial 16S ribosomal RNA
Rfam family: Bacterial small subunit ribosomal RNA
Source: RNAcentral
AACGUAGGAGACAAACGUUAUCCGGAGUUACUGGGCGUAAAGGGCGUGUAGGUGGUUGCGUAAGUCUGGCGUGAAAUAUCUCGGCUUAACCGAGGCAGGUCGUCGGAUACUGCGUAACUGGAGGGCGGUAGAGGCGUGUGGAAUUCCGGGUGUAGUGGUGAAAUGCGUAGAGAUCCGGAGGGACACCAGUGGCGAAGGCGACACGCUGGGCCAUACCUGACGCUAAAGCGCGACAGCAUGGGGAGCAAACGGG